Molecule: ribosomal RNA, 357 nt
Filed under: uncultured Spirochaetaceae bacterium
Lineage: Bacteria; Pseudomonadati; Spirochaetota; Spirochaetia; Spirochaetales; Spirochaetaceae
Description: bacterial SSU rRNA
Rfam family: Bacterial small subunit ribosomal RNA
Source: RNAcentral
CGUUGUUCGGAAUUUUGGGCGUAAAGGGCAUGUAGGCGGUCUGGUAAGCCUGGCGUGAAAGGCCACAGCUCAACUGUGGGAUUGCGUUGGGAACUGCUGGGCUUGAUUUAUGGAGAGGGAGCUAGAAUUCCUGGUGUAGGGGUGAAAUCUGUAGAUAUCAGGAAGAAUACCGAUGGCGAAGGCAAGCUCCUGGCCGAUGACUGACGCUGAGGUGCGAAAGUGUGGGGAUCAAACAGGAUUAGAUACCCUGGUAGUCCACACUGUAAACGAUGUGCACUAGGUGCUGGGGCGGUAGCUUCAUUGCCGGAGCGAACGUGGUAAUAGCACCGCCUGGGGAGUAUGCUCGCAAGGGUGAAA